Molecule: ribosomal RNA, 256 nt
Filed under: uncultured bacterium
Lineage: Bacteria
Description: partial 16S ribosomal RNA
Rfam family: Bacterial small subunit ribosomal RNA
Source: RNAcentral
UACGUAGGGUGCAAGCGUUGUCCGGAUUUAUUGGGCGUAAAGAGCUCGUAGGCGGUUUGUUGCGUCGGCUGUGAAAUCCCGAGGCUCAACCUCGGGUCUGCAGUCGAUACGAGCAAACUAGAGUGUUGCAGGGGAGACUGGAAUUCCUGGUGUAGCGGUGAAAUGCGCAGAUAUCAGGAGGAACACCGGUGGCGAAGGCGGCGAUCUGGGUCGAUACUGACGCUGAGGUGCGAAAAGCGUGGGGGAGCAAAACAGG